RNAcentral lists this ribosomal RNA (892 nucleotides) under uncultured bacterium. RNAcentral describes it as "bacterial SSU rRNA". It matches the Rfam family "Bacterial small subunit ribosomal RNA", at positions 505 to 1397 of the family's 1533-position model. The record is from RNAcentral.
GUGCCAGCAGCCGCGGUAAUACGUAGGUGGCAAGCGUUGUCCGGAUUUAUUGGGCGUAAAGCGAGCGCAGGCGGUUUCUUAAGUCUGAUGUGAAAGCCUUCGGCUCAACCGAAGAAGUGCAUCGGAAUCUGGGAAACUUGAGUGCAGAAGAGGACAGUGGAACUCCAUGUGUAGCGGUGAAAUGCGUAGAUAUAUGGAAGAACACCAGUGGCGAAGGCGGCUGUCUGGUCUGUAACUGACGCUGAGGCUCGAAAGCAUGGGUAGCAAACAGGAUUAGAUACCCUGGUAGUCCAUGCCGUAAACGAUGAGUGCUAGGUGUUGGAGGGUUUCCGCCCUUCAGUGCCGCAGCUAACGCAUUAAGCACUCCGCCUGGGGAGUACGACCGCAAGGUUGAAACUCAAAGGAAUUGACGGGGGCCCGCACAAGCGGUGGAGCAUGUGGUUUAAUUCGAAGCAACGCGAAGAACCUUACCAGGUCUUGACAUCCUUUGACCACUCUAGAGAUAGAGCUUUCCCUUCGGGGACAAAGUGACAGGUGGUGCAUGGUUGUCGUCAGCUCGUGUCGUGAGAUGUUGGGUUAAGUCCCGCAACGAGCGCAACCCUUAUUACUAGUUGCCAGCAUUUAGUUGGGCACUCUAGUGAGACUGCCGGUGACAAACCGGAGGAAGGUGGGGACGACGUCAAAUCAUCAUGCCCCUUAUGACCUGGGCUACACACGUGCUACAAUGGAUGGUACAACGAGUUGCGAGACCGCGAGGUUUAGCUAAUCUCUUAAAACCAUUCUCAGUUCGGAUUGUAGGCUGCAACUCGCCUACAUGAAGCCGGAAUCGCUAGUAAUCGCGGAUCAGCAUGCCGCGGUGAAUACGUUCCCGGGCCUUGUACACACCGCCCGU